CGAAUCACUCGCCACACAUACUGUCACGCGACCGUAACCGUCUGCCGGGGGCGCACAGCCGUGAUGUAGCAUACCGAAUUUUUAAUAAAAGUGAAUAUAAAUAAAAAUAGUGUGAGAUACUAUUUUUAUUGGAUUUAAAGAAGUAAAAUAUAAGUCGGGAUUGACUCGUGCGAAAAUCGGAGUGAAAACAGAAGAUUGAGAAUUUUCUGUGAGAUACGGGGCUGAUAUUUUAGCAGAAAAUGUACGGUGUCAGAAAAUUCCGUAAAUACGGGAAUAUGUUAGGAUUAUUUUUAUGAGGCUAGAUUUAAAGUUCCAUGUCGAUCCGACACCCAAAAGAU
Molecule: long non-coding RNA, 338 nt
Filed under: Ananas comosus (pineapple)
Lineage: Eukaryota; Viridiplantae; Streptophyta; Magnoliopsida; Poales; Bromeliaceae
Description: long non-coding RNA (ACOM_LNC002011)
Source: RNAcentral